This is a long non-coding RNA of Anolis carolinensis (green anole), 5039 nucleotides long. RefSeq lists it as uncharacterized. The transcript has 2 exons. Lineage: Eukaryota; Metazoa; Chordata; Lepidosauria; Squamata; Anolidae. The record is from RefSeq and is a predicted model, not a curated record.
ACUGAAAGUACUUGUGAUAUCGUCACAGCCCAAAACAUUCUGGAAAAUGAAGGUCCUGCUGAGGGGAUCCACCGUAUCCAGUUUACACUGACAGAUCUCCGGGACGGCUUCACAGGUGAACUGCGUGAUCUGCGAAUAACGUCACGGCAUGAACCAACUAUCAAUACAAAAACAGCGGUGUGACCUUGAUGUUCCAAGCAUGCAUUCCUUGAUAAAAAUCCAUAGGCCAGGUAAUAUUUGUCUUCUACCCACUGUAUGAAUCCAUCUUCUGAUUUGUGAGUGAGAUAGGAGGGGAAAACAUAGCUGAGCUUAUUGAUGAUAUUUGAAGCAGUUGCAUAUAUUCUGCUUUUCAACUAACUUAAAAUACCUAGAUAUUUCUUUUUGCAGAGUUGGUUUGAAAUCAAACAGCAAGUUUAUGAAUGUGGGGACAAAGAGAAAAUGAAGGUCAUUUAGAUACAUUUUGUAAUUCAGAUACUAGGGGUGUGCAAAUCUUUGAUUUUAAAUCAUAAGUCAUAUGUAAUUUGUAAGUUUUGUAUAUACAAACAGAUAUUAAGAAACACAAGGGUGGUGCCCACACAAAAACUUAAGAAUCAAAACAUAUCCAAUGCUUUUUUGUUUGAAUUCUGUCAAAGGUCAGACGCCAACUGAGAGCCAAAAUAUAGUUUAUUAAAGUAAUAGUCCAAAAACAGUUCAGUAAAUUAUCAGAGACUUAAAACACUUAAUCUCUAGUAUUAUUAGGCAGUCAGAACAGAAAAAACACCAAAAGCAUGAACUGGCAUAUAAUCCGGAUUAACCAGAGAUAUAAUCCGGAUUUAACAUAGAGUACUUGAACUCAGCCCAAAAGCUCAAAAUGGGCUUAAAAUGGCAAAACAAACAAAGGUAAACAGUUACGAAGCCCCCAAAACUUUCCCAAAACCCAGGAGUACAACAGCGAUUCCAAACUGAAACAAAAACCCAAACAGGGCUAAAAGCUCUUUGCUGUGAGCGGCAAAAACAAGCGGAACUGGAAGACGCUAAAGAGCUAGCGGCAAACCACUGCAGAGACGAAAGCCAAGCCAGGAAUUAAAGGAGCAGAACGCUGUAAUGUAGUCAAGCCGGUCCGAAGACAGGAUAAGGAGACAGCAUCAGGGUCGGGAACGAAGCCAGUAGUCAGCAAUAGUAGAAAGCCACAGAGAACAAUGCCAAGCCGAGUUUGUGAGCGAAGAGAUAAGCCAGGUCGAGUUCCAGUCCAAGGUCCAAUGGGUGAAAUCGUCACAAGAAGGUCCACGUCAUGGAAUAGCACAAAGAGCCAAGACAACGAAGGCGAGCAGCAGAUCUGUUGCAAAGUCCCAAGCCAGUCUUCAGAAUCACGUACAGGAAACCCAAUGGCGCCCAGCAACACCUUGCCACACGCAAAGCAUAGUGACCAAACAUCCCCAAUUUAUUUAGGUUUCCUUGGGCGUCCAAACCUCUAACGCCCUAGGAUCAGGUGUCCCAAACUCCUCAUCAGAAUCUGAGCUCCAAACAGCCAACACCCUUGGAUCAGGCGUCCCAAACUCCUCAUCAGAAUCAAGAUCAUCCUGCCCACACCCAACUCUGUCCACACCUGUGGAACUACCCUCAUUCCUCCAGGCAGACCAUGUGGGAUCUGCUUCUGAAGAUACCCAAGCCUCUCCAGCAUCUACAGCAUCCAUGGACCCAGAUUCCUCCCCAAGAUCCUCCGGAGCCCGUGCCCAAUCUAUGCCAACUUCCUCCGUCACCACUGGUUCCUCAGCAUCCACUUCCACCUCAAGAUCCACUCCCAAAUCCUCACAUGAAUCUUCCUCGGAAGACUCCUCAUCAAUCUCCCUGAUUCUCUUCCUGUGUAAAUCUUCCAGCGAGCCCUCCUCGCGAGGGUUCUUCCUUCCUCUCCUGAUCCCACCAUUAUUACUCACAGCCUCAGAAGACUCAUUCACAACAAAUUCUGUAAUGCUCAAAAGUCAGUUUCAUAUUCAGCGUAAGUGAGGCAAAGCCAAAAAGGCUGCCAUUCCUCUUUAAACUAAGAAGAGAUAGGCUGCCUCUUGUCAUAAGGAAAGGAAAGCAGCAAGGCACGACAAGCUGUGUGAGCUGGGAAAGAGACUCAGAGAGCACAGAAUUCUGGGAAAUAUAGUUUGGGAAGGUGAGGAGCCCUAUGCCAGAGGAUUCAAAAGGUCCUGCCCUCAACUACAUUUUAUUUUAAAAUUCCCCAAAAUCAGUAGAUGUAUGAAUAUUUCUGAAAGUUGGGGGAAAUGAUCCCCUGCUAUCUUGUGUCAUUGAAUAGAAAAUUCAAGGAGAUAGCUCUUGUAGUUUUUUUUAAAAAGGUUGUUUGUAAAAACUGAAAAAUUCUCCAAAAAUCCGUGGAUGAGUGAAAAGUUUUGAAACUGGAUGGGCUAACAGUAGUAAAUGUGUUCUAUAAUCGCAGCAUGUUUCAUACCAAUAACUCUAACAAUGAGGAAGAAAGGAGCUCCUGAAGUGACCCCAUUGGCACAAUUAAUUACUUAACAUAAAGUAACAAAAAGUAGUUAACUCGUUAUAGUUACCAUACGGACCCCGUUCAAUUUCGCAAACACUUUAGAAACAAUUUUUCCACCACCCCCUAAUUUCAUGAGUAUUGAAACAUUUUUAUGGAUCACACAGGUUUAACAUAUAGGAAAAAUGAGAAACUAACAGUAAAUGACAGACAGCAGAAGAUGUACAGGUUUCAUAAAUAGAAAACUCUGUACAGCCUGAGGCGUGAUUUGGAUUAAUGAUUUUGGACACCAUUCUAAGGCCCUUUCUACACCGCCAUAUAAUACCAAAACAGAUUAUUCACAUUAUCUGCUUUGAACUGCAUUAUAUGGGUCCACACUACCAUAUAACCCACUUCAAAGCAGAUAAUUUGGAUUUUAUAUGACAUUGUUGAAGGGGCUUGAGUAACCCUUGGCAAGUCUCACACUGUCAGCCUUUAAGGAAGGUAAAAAUAAAUCUUGUCAAGAAAACUCCAAGAUAGGGUUGCCUAAGGGUGCAUCUACUCUAUAGAGUUAAUGCAGUCUGACACCCCUUUGAUGGCCAUGGUUCAAUGCUAUGGAAUCCUGGGAUUUGUCUUAUGGUGAAGCACUAGCACUCUUUGGAAGAAAAUGCUAGACAGUGUAAAACGACAACUUUCACGGUUCCACAACAUUGAGCCAUAGCACUUAAAACUGCAUUAAUUCUACAUUGUAGACACACUCUAAAUCAGAGUCAAGCCAGAGUCAAGCUGGACAUGUGUAACCACAGCAACAAGAUAUGUUCAGAUGAGGUUGGUGAUUAGUUUUAAAAUAGCCUUUUAACCCAUUCAAAAGGCCCCCUUCUCUUUGCAGAACAAAGAAAAAAGAAUGACUAGCCAUCUCAUCUAAAGUAAGUCAGCCACAUGUGCCAGGAUGAAAAAUAUCUGUAACAGGGUUGUUCUAUGUUUUCCGGGCUGUAUGGCCAUGUUCCAGAAGUAUUAUCUCCUGACGUUUCGCCCACAUCUAUGGCAGGCAUCCUCAGAGAAAUGUCAGGAGAGAAUACUUCUGGAACAUGGUCAUACAGCACGGAAAAUAUACAACAACCCUGUGAUCCCGGCCAUGAAAGCCUUCGACAAUACAACAUCUGUAACGUUCUCUCACACCCCUAAAUUCAGCUGAUUUUGGGGGGUAAAUGAAAAAAAUAAUCUAAUAAUAAUUGGAAUUCAAUGCAACACUGAGAGUCAUGGUGUCGUGUGAUAAGAAAAGAUUAAACAUGGAACCAAACCUACGCAAUGCCAGAUUUUGACCUUAAUCCUAUUUGAGUCCAAAGCAGACCAGCGUUAUUGAUUCAAUUGCAUUCACCUAUGUGUUAACUGGCCAAUCAACAAGUGAUUCAGUCUAUUCCAGUGGUUUUCAACUUUUGGUCCUCUGGGUGUUUUUGGACUUCAACUCCCAGAAUUCAUAACAGCUGGUAAGCUGGCUAGGAUUUCUGGGAGUUGAAGUCAGGUAACCGUCCCUUUUAGAGUAGGGAACUGGCUCUCUUAUAUUGUCAGCACUCCCGUUUGGGGUUCUGCCUCCCCAUCACAACCACACAUGGAAACUUAAGAGCUGGCAAUAUAUUUAUCUUACAUUAAUCACAAGGUCAAUAUUACUUUUUUUAAAAUCAGGAAGAACAACAAUAUCUGAAAACCAAGAGAUCCCUUGCCCUGGCUCUUUACAUUAAAAGAAACUGACACUAGUUUAAAACCAGUUCUUUCCAUGGGAUCUUAUGGUUCUGCCCCAUAUCCCACAGGAUAUAAGACACAGUGAUUCAGGUUAAAACCAUCUCUUUCCAUAGGAUCCUAUUGUUCUGCAUCAAACCCCAUAGGAUACAAGAGACAGUGAUCGAAAUUAAAACCAUUUCUUUCUAUGAAAUUUUAUGGUUCUGUAUCAACCCCAUCUGUUUUUCAGUUGUAAACAUGGGAGUAAAGUAAGAUAAGAGGUAGGAGCUCUGAACACAAUUGUUAGUCCAUGUUCAGAGUUUCCUCCUUUCAGGACAUUUCAGCCUCUUUUCAACCCUGGAACAUCGGUGAGCUCCGUGCAUCUCCAUGCUUAAAAAGUGGUUGAAGUGUCUAUGACUGGGAAAUUUCUCAAUGUGAUAAGGUGGUAAAACACCUGGAGGACCAAAGGUUGAAAACCAUCGGUCUAUUCUAUUUGAAACUAACCAACCACAGAAUUGGUAUCUACUCUAGGUUUACUAAUCUCAAUGGCACCUUAUCUUGCUCCUCACUCUGCAUGCUACAGCACUUUAAGUGAAAUUGCUCCCUUGUUUCUUUUUAAUCAUUCUGAUUUUCUCUCUGGACCUGGUGGAAUGAUGUAUUAGUCACCCUCUGCUGUGCUGAACAAUUUAAUGUUCCGGUUUUUGAAGUAACUAUUAUGUUGUUUUUAUCUUGUAUUGCAUUGUUUUUAAAUCUUAUUGUUGUAGUGGAUUGUGUGUAUUGUAUGCUAUGUUGUUGUCAUAUUUUUCAUUGUAACCUGCCCUGAGUCCCCGCGAGGAGAUGGUGGUGGGGUAUAAAUAAAAAGUUAUUAUUAUUAUUA